Molecule: ribosomal RNA, 433 nt
Filed under: uncultured bacterium
Lineage: Bacteria
Description: partial 16S ribosomal RNA
Rfam family: Bacterial small subunit ribosomal RNA
Source: RNAcentral
AACGAACGCUGGCGGCAUGCCUAACACAUGCAAGUCGAACGAGACCUUCGGGUCUAGUGGCGCACGGGUGCGUAACGCGUGGGAACCUGCCCUUAGGUUCGGAAUAACUCCCCGAAAGGGGUGCUAAUACCGGAUAAUGUCUUCGGACCAAAGAUUUAUCGCCUUUGGAUGGGCCCGCGUUGGAUUAGCUAGUUGGUAGGGUAAAAGCCUACCAAGGCGACGAUCCAUAGCUGGUCUGAGAGGAUGAUCAGCCACACUGGGACUGAGACACGGCCCAGACUCCUACGGGAGGCAGCAGUGGGGAAUAUUGGACAAUGGGCGAAAGCCUGAUCCAGCAAUGCCGCGUGAGUGGUGAAGGCCUUAGGGUUGUAAAGCUCUUUUACCCGGGAUGAUAAUGACAGUACCGGGAGAAUAAGCACCGGCUAACUCCGUG